Molecule: ribosomal RNA, 481 nt
Filed under: uncultured bacterium
Lineage: Bacteria
Description: partial 16S ribosomal RNA
Rfam family: Bacterial small subunit ribosomal RNA
Source: RNAcentral
GACGAACGCUGGCGGCGUGCUUAACACAUGCAAGUCGAACGGUGAAGGAGAGCUUGCUCUCCGGAUCAGUGGCGAACGGGUGAGUAACACGUGGGCAACCUGCCCCAGACUACGGGAUAGCGCCUCGAAAGAGGUGCUAAUACCGGAUACGAACUCCUUGGGCAUCCUUGGAGUUGGCAAGUUUUUCGGUCUGGGAUGGGCCCGCGGCCUAUCAGCUUGUUGGUGAGAUAACGGCUCACCAAGGCGACGACGGGGAGCCGGCCUGAGAGGGCGACCGGCCACACUGGGACUGAGACACGGCCCAGACUCCUACGGGAGGCAGCAGUGGGGAAUAUUGCGCAAUGGGCGAAAGCCUGACGCAGCAACGCCGCGUGAGGGAUGACGGCCUUCGGGUUGUAAACCUCUUUCAGCAGGGAAGAAGCGAAAGUGACGGUACCUGCAGAAGAAGCACCGGCUAACUACGUGCCAGCAGCCGCCGUAA